UACAGAGGGUGCGAGCGUUGUUCGGAAUUACUGGGCGUAAAGCGCGCGCAGGCGGCUCUUUAAGUCUGACGGUGAAAUGCCGGGGCUCAACCCCGUGCCCGCCGCGGAUACUGGAGGGCUGGAGACACGUAGAGGCAAGCAGAAUUCCGGGUGUAGCGGUGGAAUGCGUAGAGAUCCGGAAGAACACCGGAGGCGAAGGCGGCUUGCUGGGCGUAGUCUGACGCUGAGGCGCGAAAGCGUGGGGAGCGAACAGG
This 254-nucleotide ribosomal RNA is filed under the name uncultured bacterium. RNAcentral describes it as "partial 16S ribosomal RNA". It matches the Rfam family "Bacterial small subunit ribosomal RNA", at positions 524 to 776 of the family's 1533-position model. The record is from RNAcentral.